UAGGGAAUCUUCGGCAAUGGACGGAAGUCUGACCGAGCAACGCCGCGUGAGUGAAGAAGGUUUUCGGAUCGUAAAGCUCUGUUGUAAGAGAAGAACGAGUGUGAGAGUGGAAAGUUCACACUGUGACGGUAUCUUACCAGAAAGGGACGGCUAACUACGUGCCAGCAGCCGCGGUAAUACGUAGGUCCCGAGCGUUGUUCGGAUUUAUUGGGCGUAAAGCGGGCGCAGGCGGUUAGAUAAGUCUGAAGUUAAAGGCUGUGGCUUAACCAUAGUACGCUUUGGAAACUGUUUAACUUGAGUGCAAGAGGGGAGAGUGGAAUUCCAUGUGUAGCGGUGAAAUGCGUAGAUAUAUGGAGGAACACCGGUGGCGAAAGCGGCUCUCUGGCUUGUAACUGACGCUGAGGCUCGAAAGCGUGGGGAGCAAACAGGAUUAGAUACCCUGGUAGCCCACGCCGUAAACGAUGAGUGCUAGGUGUUAGACCCUUUCCGGGGUUUAGUGCCGCAGCUAACGCAUUAAGCACUCCGCCUGGGGAGUACGACCGCAAGGUUG
RNAcentral lists this ribosomal RNA (550 nucleotides) under uncultured bacterium. RNAcentral's name for it is "bacterial SSU rRNA". It matches the Rfam family "Bacterial small subunit ribosomal RNA", at positions 355 to 896 of the family's 1533-position model. The record is from RNAcentral.